AUUCCUAUAGGAUCCUAUAGGAAUUCCUAUAGGAUCCUAUAGGAUCCUAUAGGAAUUCCUAUAGGAUCCUAUAGGAAUU
This is a non-coding RNA of Paramuricea clavata, 79 nucleotides long. NCBI's taxonomy places the organism in Eukaryota, Metazoa, Cnidaria, Anthozoa, Malacalcyonacea, Plexauridae. The record is from the annotation of a GenBank genome assembly.